Molecule: transfer RNA, 84 nt
Filed under: Thermoguttaceae bacterium
Lineage: Bacteria; Pseudomonadati; Planctomycetota; Planctomycetia; Pirellulales; Thermoguttaceae
Description: tRNA-Leu
Rfam family: tRNA
About the family: Transfer RNA (tRNA) molecules are approximately 80 nucleotides in length. Their secondary structure includes four short double-helical elements and three loops (D, anti-codon, and T loops). Further hydrogen bonds mediate the characteristic L-shaped molecular structure. tRNAs have two regions of fundamental functional importance: the anti-codon, which is responsible for specific mRNA codon recognition, and the 3' end, to which the tRNAs corresponding amino acid is attached (by aminoacyl-tRNA synthetases). tRNAs cope with the degeneracy of the genetic code in two manners: having more than one tRNA (with a specific anti-codon) for a particular amino acid; and 'wobble' base-pairing, i.e. permitting non-standard base-pairing at the 3rd anti-codon position.
Source: RNAcentral
GGCGGAGUGGCGGAAUGGCAGACGCUGGGGAUUUAAAAUCCCCUGUCCAUAACGGACGUGCGGGUUCGAGUCCCGCCUUCGCUA